Molecule: transfer RNA, 74 nt
Organism: Stanieria cyanosphaera PCC 7437
Lineage: Bacteria; Bacillati; Cyanobacteriota; Cyanophyceae; Pleurocapsales; Dermocarpellaceae
Rfam family: tRNA
About the family: Transfer RNA (tRNA) molecules are approximately 80 nucleotides in length.
Source: Rfam
CGGGAUGUAGCGCAGCUUGGUAGCGCACCGCUUUCGGGAGGCGGGGGCCGCAGGUUCAAAUCCUGUCAUCCCGA